AAGUCGUAACAAGGUUUCCGUAGGUGAACCUGCGGAAGGAUCAUUAACAUAAACCCCCCCGUGAACCUUCAGUGCGCUCGCACUUUCUUAGAAAAGGUAGCAAUCCCUGGUAAAUCAUUGUUUUGAUUCAGGGACUUCUGCGUAGACUGUGCUUGAGCGUGAGGCAAGUGGCCUGGCAUUCCUCUGCUUGUUGGUGUCUGAAAGUGUCACCAGCUCUGUACGAAUGGCGCAGUCACGAUCGCUAGAGGCCGACACGGCCGGCGACCGGGUCACUGGGCGCGAGCCCCCCUCGUCACCUUUGCAUGAAAACGGGCCUGCGCUUAAUUGUGCGGCCACCAAACUCGAACAACUGUUAACAAUGGAUAUCUUGGUUCUC
This 376-nucleotide unclassified non-coding RNA is filed under the name fungal sp. RNAcentral's name for it is "partial internal transcribed spacer region". The stretch from base 1 to 46 matches the Rfam family "Eukaryotic small subunit ribosomal RNA", at positions 1786 to 1831 of the family's 1831-position model. The record is from RNAcentral. Lineage: Eukaryota; Fungi.